Molecule: long non-coding RNA, 291 nt
Filed under: Gossypium raimondii (Peruvian cotton)
Lineage: Eukaryota; Viridiplantae; Streptophyta; Magnoliopsida; Malvales; Malvaceae
Description: long non-coding RNA (GRAI_LNC010582)
Source: RNAcentral
GAACGAUCGCAGACAAACUUGGAGCGACACGAGGCAGAGUGGGAAAAGAAAAGCCAAGAAGAUGAACGGUGAAAAAGAGCAGAAAUUCGGCAGCAAUGAAGAGAAAAACGACAAUAGGGUGGAGGGAUUUUGGGGAAAGUAAAAAAAAAGGAAAAAAAAGAUGAACAGAAUAUUUGAUAACCACCCCAAUCCCUUAUUUCUCUCCAUCAAAAUCCUCACUAAAUCCACUACUCAGAUUUUUAGUCCAUCUCAAACUCUCUUGGAUGCAUGAGCAAAAAUAAUGCCCACGCC